CAGCAGCGGUACCCCCGGCAUGGGGCCCGCAGGCUCCCCCGUCCCACGGGGGUGUCCCCUUACCUGUGGCGGCGGCGCGGAGCGGGCGGCCCCGCAGCAGCGACUGCAGGCGGGCGGCGCGGCGGUGCAGGCGGGCGGCGCGACGGGCCAGCGCCCGCAGGUGGCCCUCGAUGUCCCCCAGGAGAGCGACCGAGUGGCCGCAGAGCUCGGCCAGCUGCCGCAGCAGGGCGAGAGCCGCCAGGCUGCAGGUGUCCCGCAGAUCGGUCAGCGGCCCCGCCGGCCGGACCCGCACUGCCACGCUCCGUCGGUAGAACGGCAUGGGGCGGAUUGGCUCGGGGCGGAUCGGCUCUGUUUCCCCCGGCCCGGUUGCCCCCCGGCCCGGUUCGGUUCAGCCCAGCCAGGCACUGUUCCCCCCGUCGAGCCCCGCGGCUGCGAGGGCUGUGGUCCGGCAGCAGCGCCGGGGCUCGGAGCCGGUCUGUGGGAGGAGGAGGAGGAGGAGGAAGGGGAGGGAGGGGCGGCCCCGCUCGGGGAUGCUCGGGCCGGCGGCGGGGCACGGCGGCACUCGGGAGGGAGAGAGCGGCCCCGGCGGGAGGAGCUGCGGAGACGCUGCGGGCUGGCUGGGGCCGGAGCCCUGGAGCUGGCGCUGCUCGGGCUGGGGCACAGGAAUCCCUCGGGGCCGGCCCUUCCCUCCCGAUGCCAUUCCGAAGGACACGGACACCCUCCGGUUUGUUGUGGCAGCAGUGCCCAGGUCUCGAGGCUGGCUUAGCCAGGAGGAUUUUAAGCCAGUUGGAGAGGUGUGAACACCUUGCCAUCGAGUGUGAGCUGAGAUCCGGACUCUGGGAGCCAAGGGAUUCAUAAAACCAUCACAUAGUGCAGCAACCUCAAUAAAUGACAAAAAUCUGGUCGCUUAGCAACUUAAACU
Molecule: long non-coding RNA, 922 nt
Filed under: Corvus moneduloides (New Caledonian crow)
Lineage: Eukaryota; Metazoa; Chordata; Aves; Passeriformes; Corvidae
Description: lncRNA (ENSCMUG00000005904.2)
Source: RNAcentral